AGAGGGUUUGAUCAUGGCUCAGAUUGAACGCUGGCGGGAUGCUUUUACACAUGCAAGUCGAACGCGUUACGAUUUCGGUCUGGUGGCGAGUGGCGAACGGGUGAGUAAUGUAUCGGAACGUGCCUAGUAGCGGGGAUAACUACGCGAAAAGCGUAGCUAAUACCGCAUACGUUCCCUUCGGGGGAAAGCGGGGACCUUCGGGCCUUGCACUAUUAGAGCGGCCGAUAUCGGAUUAGCUAGCUGCAGCGCGCGUAACGGUCACCAAGGCGACGAUCCGUAGCUGGUUUGAGAGGACGACCAGCCACACUGGACUGAGACACGGCCCAGACUUUACGGGAGGCAGCAGUGGGGAAUUUUGGACAAUGGGGAAACCCUGAUCCAGCCAUCCCGCGUGUGCGAUGAAGGCCUUCGGGUUGUAAAGCACUUUUGGCAGGAAAGAAACGGCACGGGAUAAUACCCCGUGCAACUGACGGUACCUGCAGAAUAAGCACCGGCUAACUACGUGCCAGCAGCCGCAGUAAUACGUAGGGUGCAAGCGUUAAUCGGAAUUACUGGGCGUAAAGCGUGCGCAGGCGGUUCGGAAAGAAAGAGGGAAUCCCAGAGCUUAACUGGGAACUGCAUUUUUAACUACCGAGCUAGAGUGUGUCAGAGGGAGGUGGAAUUCGCGUGUAGCAGCGGAAUGCGUAGAUAUGCGGAGGGAACAAUUGAUACGAAGGCAGCCUCUGGGAUAACAACGUUGAUACCCAUGCACGAAAGCGUGGGAGCAAACAGGAUUAGAUACCCUGGUAGUCCACGCCCUAAACGAUGUCAACUAGCUGUUGGGGCCUCUCGGGUCUUAGCGCAGCUUACCCGCGAAGUUGACCGCCUGGGGAGUACGGUCGCAAGAUUAAAACCAAAGGAAUGACGGGAAUCGCAAAUGCUGGGUGGAUGAUGUGGAUUAAUUCGAUGCAACGCGAAAACCUUACCUACCCUUGAUAUGUUCAACCGAAGAGAUUUGGGAGUGCUCGCAAGAGAACCGGAACACAGGUGCUGCAUGGCUGUCGUCAGCUCGUGUCGUGAGAGUGAAUAAGUCCCGCAACGAGCGCAACCCUUGUCAUUAGUUGCUACGAAAGGGCACUCUAAUGAGACUGCCGGUGACAAACCGGAGGAAGGUGGGGAUGACGUCAAGUCCUGUAUGUCUUAUGGGUAGGGCUUCACACGUCAUACAAUGGUCGGGACAGAGGGUCGCCAACCCGCGAGGGGAGCCAAUCCCAGAAACCCGAUCGUAGUCCGGAUCGCAGUCUGUAACCUGACUGGUGUCGGAAUCGCCAGUAACCGCGGAUCUGCAUGUCGCGUGAACAUGUUCCUGGCCUUGUACACACCGCCCGUCACACCAUGGGAGUGGGUUUUACCAGAAGUAGUUAGCCUAACCGUAAGGAGGGCGAUUACCACGGUAGGAUUCAUGACUGGGGAAGCUGCACCAG
RNAcentral lists this ribosomal RNA (1463 nucleotides) under uncultured Bordetella sp. RNAcentral describes it as "partial 16S-23S ribosomal RNA intergenic spacer". It matches the Rfam family "Bacterial small subunit ribosomal RNA". Lineage: Bacteria; Pseudomonadati; Pseudomonadota; Betaproteobacteria; Burkholderiales; Alcaligenaceae. The record is from RNAcentral.